ACACGACUACAUUAGAUACCCGUGUAGUCCUAGCCGUAAACGAUACUCGCUAGGUGUCGGCCACGGUGCGACCGUUGUCGGUGCCGUAGGGAAGCCGUGAAGCGAGCCACCUGGGAAGUACGGCCGCAAGGCUGAAACUUAAAGGAAUUGGCGGGGGAGCACCACAACGGGUGGAGCUUGCGGUUUAAUUGGAUUCAACGCCGGAAAUCUUACCGGGACCGACAGCAACAUGAAGGCCAGGCUGAAGACUCUGCCGGAUUAGCUG
RNAcentral lists this ribosomal RNA (265 nucleotides) under uncultured archaeon. Its description in RNAcentral is "partial 16S ribosomal RNA". It matches the Rfam family "Archaeal small subunit ribosomal RNA", at positions 719 to 982 of the family's 1478-position model. The record is from RNAcentral.